Molecule: ribosomal RNA, 374 nt
Filed under: uncultured organism
Description: bacterial SSU rRNA
Rfam family: Bacterial small subunit ribosomal RNA
Source: RNAcentral
CGGGGGGAGCAAGCGUUGUUCGGAUUUACUGGGCGUAAAGGGCGCGUAGGCGGCCACCGCAAGUCGGCUGUGAAAUCUCCGGGCUUAACCCGGAAAGGUCAGCCGAUACUGCGGGGCUAGAGUGCAGAAGGGGCAACUGGAAUUCUCGGUGUAGCGGUGAAAUGCGUAGAUAUCGAGAGGAACACCUGCGGCGAAGGCGGGUUGCUGGGCUGACACUGACGCUGAGGCGCGAAAGCUAGGGGAGCGAACGGGAUUAGAUACCCCGGUAGUCCUAGCCUUAAACGAUGAAUGCUUGGUGCCUGGGGUUUUAUAGUCCCCGGGUGCCGUCGCUAACGCUUUAAGCAUUCCGCCUGGGGAGUACGGUCGCAAGACUG